This 520-nucleotide ribosomal RNA is filed under the name uncultured Glomus. Its description in RNAcentral is "SSU rRNA". It matches the Rfam family "Eukaryotic small subunit ribosomal RNA", at positions 569 to 1091 of the family's 1831-position model. The record is from RNAcentral. Lineage: Eukaryota; Fungi; Glomeromycota; Glomeromycetes; Glomerales; Glomeraceae.
AGCAGCCGCGGUAAUUCCAGCUCCAAUAGCGUAUAUUAAAGUUGUUGCAGUUAAAAAGCUCGUAGUUGAAUUUCGGGAUCAAUUUAUUGGUCGUGCUAUUGUACGUACUGGUAUUAUUGAUUCCUACCUUCUGACGAACCAUGAUGUCAUUAAUUUGGUGUCUUGGGGAAUCAGGACUGUUACUUUGAAAAAAUUAGAGUGUUUAAAGCAGGCUCACGCUUGAAUACAUUAGCAUGGAAUAACGAAAUAGGACGUUUGAUUCUAUUUUGUUGGUUUCUAGGAUCGACGUAAUGAUUAAUAGGGAUAGUUGGGGGCAUUAGUAUUCAAUUGUCAGAGGUGAAAUUCUUGGAUUUAUUGAAGACUAACUACUGCGAAAGCAUUUGCCAAGGAUGUUUUCAUUAAUCAAGAACGAAAGUUAGGGGAUCGAAGACGAUCAGAUACCGUCGUAGUCUUAACCAUAAACUAUGCCGACUAGGGAUCGGAUGAUGUUAAUUUUUUAAUGACUCAUUCGGCGCCUUAA